Molecule: ribosomal RNA, 543 nt
Filed under: Paratrechalea ornata
Lineage: Eukaryota; Metazoa; Arthropoda; Arachnida; Araneae; Trechaleidae
Description: partial 16S ribosomal RNA
Rfam family: Bacterial large subunit ribosomal RNA
Source: RNAcentral
AAAAACAUUUCUAUUAGGAAUAAUUAAUAGUAAAAUCUGCUCAAUGAAAAUUAAAUAGCCGCAUUUGUGCUAAGGUAGCAUAAUAAUUUGUCUUUUAAUUAAAGACUAGAACAAAAGAUUUAACAUCUUAAUUUAUUUCUUAAAUUUAUAUAUUAAAAUUAUUUUAAAUGUAAAAAAACAUUUAUAUUUUAGAAAGACGAUAAGACCCUUUCGAACUUAACUUAAGUUUAACUGGGGCAGUUAAUUAAUUAUAAUUUUAAUUUAAAAUAUUUAAUCAAUUUAGACCUAAUAUAAUUAAAAAUAUAACCAAGUUACCGUAGGGAUAACAGCGUAAUAAAAUUUUUAAGAUCUUAUUUAAAAUAAAGAUUGCGACCUCGAUGUUGAUUUAAUUAUCCUAAUAAACGCAAUAGUAAAUAAAGGAAGUCUGUUCGACUUUUAAAAAAUUACAUGAUUUGAGUUCAGACCGGUGUAAACCAGGUCGGUUUCUAUCUUCUAUUAUUUCUUUUCUUCUAGUACGAAAGGACCUAAGAAAAUAAUUUAAUU